Molecule: ribosomal RNA, 736 nt
Filed under: uncultured bacterium
Lineage: Bacteria
Description: bacterial SSU rRNA
Rfam family: Bacterial small subunit ribosomal RNA
Source: RNAcentral
AGCGGCGGACGGGUGAGUAACGCGUGGGUAACCUGCCCUGUACACGCGGAUAACAUACCGAAAGGUAUGCUAAUACGAGAUAAUAUACUUUUAUCGCAUGGUGGAAGUAUCAAAGCUUUUGCGGUACAGGAUGGACCCGCGUCUGAUUAGCUAGUUGGUAAGGUAACGGCUUACCAAGGCGACGAUCAGUAGCCGACCUGAGAGGGUGAUCGGCCACAUUGGAACUGAGACACGGUCCAAACUCCUACGGGAGGCAGCAGUGGGGAAUAUUGCACAAUGGGCGAAAGCCUGAUGCAGCAACGCCGCGUGAGCGAUGAAGGCCUUCGGGUUGUAAAAUUCUGUUAUAAGGGAAGAACGACUUUAGUAGGAAAUGGCUAGAGUGUGACGGUACCUUAUGAGAAAGCCACGGCUAACUACGUGCCAGCAGCCGCGGUAAUACGUAGGUGGCGAGCGUUAUCCGGAAUUAUUGGGCGUAAAGAGCGCGCAGGUGGUUGAUUAAGUCUGAUGUGAAAGCCCACGGCUUAACCGUGGAGGGUCAUUGGAAACUGGUCGACUUGAGUGCAGAAGAGGGAAGUGGAAUUCCAUGUGUAGCGGUGAAAUGCGUAGAGAUAUGGAGGAACACCAGUGGCGAAGGCGGCUUCCUGGUCUGUAACUGACACUGAGGCGCGAAAGCGUGGGGAGCAAACAGGAUUAGAUACCCUGGUAGUCCACGCCGUAAACGAUGAGUGCUAAGUGU